This 371-nucleotide ribosomal RNA is filed under the name uncultured bacterium. Its description in RNAcentral is "bacterial SSU rRNA". It matches the Rfam family "Bacterial small subunit ribosomal RNA", at positions 28 to 408 of the family's 1533-position model. The record is from RNAcentral.
GACGAACGCUGGCGGCGUGCUUAACACAUGCAAGUCACGGGGGCUCCGCAAGGAGCAACCGGCGAACGGGUGCGUAACACGUGACCAACCUGCCCUCGUGUGGGGGAUAGCCAUGCUAACGCGUGGGUAAUACCGCAUACGUUCUCUUGGGGGAGUCCCUGGGAGAGGAAAGCUCCGGCGCACGGGGAGGGGGUCGCGGCCUAUCAGCUUGUUGGCGGGGUAAUGACCCACCAAGGCGACGACGGGUAGCUGGUCUGAGAGGAUGGCCAGCCACAUUGGGACUGAGAGACGGCCCAGACUCCUACGGGAGGCAGCAGUGGGGAAUCUUGCGCAAUGGUCGAAAGACUGACGCAGCGACGCCGCGUGUGGGA